AUUGAACGCUGGCGGAAUGCUUUACACAUGCAAGUCGAACGGCAGCACGGGAGCUUGCUCCUGGUGGCGAGUGGCGAACGGGUGAGUAACAUAUCGGAACGUACCCAGUCGUGGGGGAUAACUAUCCGAAAGGAUAGCUAAUACCGCAUACGUCCUGAGGGAGAAAGCGGGGGAUCGCAAGACCUCGCGCGAUUGGAGCGGCCGAUAUCGGAUUAGCUAGUUGGUGGGGUAAAGGCUCACCAAGGCGACGAUCCGUAGCGGGUCUGAGAGGACGACCCGCCACACUGGAACUGAGACACGGUCCAGACUCCUACGGGAGGCAGCAGUGGGGAAUUUUGGACAAUGGGGGCAAGCCUGAUCCAGCCAUUCCGCGUGAGUGAAGAAGGCCUUCGGGUUGUAAAGCUCUUUCAGCAGGAACGAAACGGUCGGCUUUAAUAAAAUCGGCUAAUGACGGUACCUGCAGAAGAAGCACCGGCUAACUACGUG
RNAcentral lists this ribosomal RNA (486 nucleotides) under uncultured bacterium. Its description in RNAcentral is "partial 16S ribosomal RNA". It matches the Rfam family "Bacterial small subunit ribosomal RNA", at positions 30 to 507 of the family's 1533-position model. The record is from RNAcentral.